GGGGAAUAUUGGGCAAUGGGCGAAAGCCUGACCCAGCGACGCCGCGUGGGCGAUGAAGGCCUUCGGGUUGUAAAGCCCUUUCGUGCGGAAAGAACAGCCCUGAGUCGAAUAUACUCAGGGUUUGACGGUACCGCAGGAAGAAGCACCGGCUAACUCCGUGCCAGCAGCCGCGGUAAUACGGAGGGUGCAAGCGUUGUUCGGAAUUAUUGGGCGUAAAGGGCGCGCAGGCGGUUGUGAUAGUCAGAUGUGAAAUCCUCCGGCUCAACUGGAGAACUGCAUCUGAAACUUCAUAGCUAGAGUACAGGAGAGGGAAACGGAAUUCCCGGUGUAGAGGUGAAAUUCGUAGAUAUCGGGAGGAACACCAGUGGCGAAGGCGGUUUCCUGGCCUGAUACUGACGCUGAGGCGCGAAAGCGUGGGGAGCAAAC
This 426-nucleotide ribosomal RNA is filed under the name uncultured bacterium. Its description in RNAcentral is "bacterial SSU rRNA". It matches the Rfam family "Bacterial small subunit ribosomal RNA", at positions 356 to 773 of the family's 1533-position model. The record is from RNAcentral.